Molecule: signal recognition particle RNA, 288 nt
Filed under: Aotus nancymaae (Ma's night monkey)
Lineage: Eukaryota; Metazoa; Chordata; Mammalia; Primates; Aotidae
Description: Metazoan signal recognition particle RNA (ENSANAG00000000613.1)
Rfam family: Metazoan signal recognition particle RNA
About the family: The signal recognition particle (SRP) is a universally conserved ribonucleoprotein. It is involved in the co-translational targeting of proteins to membranes. The eukaryotic SRP consists of a 300-nucleotide 7S RNA and six proteins: SRPs 72, 68, 54, 19, 14, and 9.
Source: RNAcentral
GCUGGGCUUGGAGGCAUGUGCUUAUAGCCCUAGCUACUUGAAAGGCUGAGGAGGGAGGAUUGCUUGAGCCCAGGAGUUCUGAGCUGUAGUGAGCUAUGCCAAUUGGCAUCAAUAUAUCAAUAUGGUGACCUCCCUGGCACAGGGGACCACCAGGUUACCUGAGGAGGGGUGAACCAGCUCAGGUUGGAAAUGGAGCAGGUCAAAAUUCCCAUGAUGAUCAGUAGUGAGAUCAUGCCUGUGAAUAGCCAUUACACUUCAGCCUGGGCAACAUAGCAAGAACCUCUCUCU